This 1361-nucleotide non-coding RNA is filed under the name Hoylesella saccharolytica F0055. Its description in RNAcentral is "Prevotella saccharolytica F0055 Bacterial large subunit ribosomal RNA". It matches the Rfam family "Bacterial large subunit ribosomal RNA", at positions 1 to 1321 of the family's 2925-position model. The record is from Rfam by way of RNAcentral. Lineage: Bacteria; Pseudomonadati; Bacteroidota; Bacteroidia; Bacteroidales; Prevotellaceae.
AAGAAAGUAAUGAAGGGCGCAUGGCGGAUGCCUUGGCUCACAGAGGCGAUGAAGGACGUGAUAAGCUGCGAUAAGCUGCGUGUAGGUGCAAAUAACCUUUGAUGCGCGGAUUUCCGAAUGGGACAACCCACCUGUCUGAAGGGCAGGUAUCACUAAUUAUUUAGUGAGGCGAACCGGGGGAACUGAAACAUCUUAGUACCCCGAGGAAUAGAAAAUAAGCGAAUGAUUCCCUUAGUAGUGGCGAGCGAAAGGGGAGGAGCCCAAACCGUUGUCGUGGUAACGCGAUAGCGGGGUUGUAGGACCGCGUUAUUGUACUUUUAUCGUGAGAAGAAGCCAUUGGAAAAUGGCAUCAUAGAGGGUGAUAAUCCCGUAUUCGAAGCGUGCGAAGACAUAGCGGUAUCCUGAGUAACGCGGAACACGUGAAAUUCUGCGCGAAUCUGCCGGGACCAUCCGGUAAGGCUAAAUACUUCUGUGAGACCGAUAGCGAACCAGUACCGUGAGGGAAAGGUGAAAAGCACUUCGAUUGAGAAGAGUGAAAUAGUUCCUGAAACCAUGCGCCUACAAGCGGUCGGAGCUGCUUAUGCAGUGACGGCGUGCCUUUUGCAUAAUGAACCUACGAGUUACCGUUACCAGCGAGGUUAAGCGACAUGAGUCGUGCAUCCGCAGUGAAAGCGAGCCUGAACAGGGCGUUUGUCCCCCUAGGGACAAAGCGCACGCAAGUGCGUUUUAGUUGGUAGUGGUAGACGCGAAACCAAGUGAUCUACACAUGUCCAGGAUGAAGUCCCGGUAACACGGGAUGGAGGUCCGAACGGAUAAGCGUUGAAAAGCUUCCCGAUGAGAUGUGUGUAGGAGUGAAAGGCCAAUCAAACUUGGAGAUAGCUCGUACUCCCCGAAAGGCAUUUAGGUGCCGCGUACAGUGUUUACCUCAAGAGGUAGAGCGACCGAUAGGACGCGAGGGCUUCACCGCCUAUCAAGUCCUGACGAACUCCGAAUGCUUGUAGGUCAGUAGCUGUGCAGUAAGGGGGCGGGUGCUAAGGUCCGUCCCCGAGAGGAGAAGAAUCCGGACCGCCGUCUAAGGUCCCGAAGUUCUGUCUGAGUUAGUCUAACGAAGUCUGGUCCCCGCGACAGCCAGGAUGUUGGCUUGGAAGCAGCCAUUCAUUUAAAGAGUGCGUAACAGCUCACUGGUCGAGGGUCCGGGCAUGGAUAAUAAUCGGGUAUAAGGCAGACACCGAAGACGCGGGAUAGUAAUGUAUAUUAAAAGUAUCGGUAGGGGAGCAUUCCAUCGGCGUUGAAUGCAGUAGGACGACUACUGCUGGAGCUUAUGGAAAAGCAAAUGUAGGUAUAAGUAACGAUAAGGAGGG